AUUAGACUUGGGCGAAGCCUGACCGCAAUGCCGCGUGAGUGAAGAAGGCCUUCGGGUUGUAAAGCUCUUUUGUCAGGGAAGAAACGGUGGGCUCUAAUACAGAUCACUAAUGACGGUACCUGAAGAAUAAGCACCGGCUAACUACGUGCCAGCAGCCGCGGUAAUACGUAGGGUGCAAGCGUUAAUCGGAAUUACUGGGCGUAAAGCGUGCGCAGGCGGUUUGGUAAGACAGAUGUGAAAUCCCUGGGCUCAACCUAGGAAUUGCAUUUGUGACUGCCCGACUAGAGUGUGUCAGAGGGGGGUAGAAUUCCACGUGUAGCAGUGAAGUGCGUAGAGAUGUGGAGGAAUACCGAUGGCGAAGGCAGCCCCCUGGGAUAACACUGACGCUCAUGCACGAAAG
This 400-nucleotide ribosomal RNA is filed under the name uncultured bacterium. RNAcentral's name for it is "bacterial SSU rRNA". It matches the Rfam family "Bacterial small subunit ribosomal RNA", at positions 359 to 759 of the family's 1533-position model. The record is from RNAcentral.